CCACCCUCUGUCCCGUUUCUGGUCCGGUUCCCGGGCCUGACCUCAAACCUGAGCCCCGCCCCUGGCUCUACCCCAACUCGGGUCCGGUUCCCGGACCUCCCCUCCCCGGCCGGACCUCUCUGCUCCCCCCUCCUCCGGCUGCGUCCCUCCCUCUGCCCCCCGCCCCGGCCCAGCCUAGGCCUGGCCUCCCGCUCCCGGCCCUGAGUUGGGGAGGGGGGCAGGUUGGGGGGGGGGGGCUCUGACUUUUCCCAGUGUUUACUCACGGAAUCAAACCGAGUGAGUAUCCGGAGACAGGAGCGACCCACAAGACCAGGCAACCCAUCCAAACUUUGGGAAGUCCCACACGCUCCAUCCUUGUGAAUCUACCCGUGUGCUGAAAUUUGUGCCCGCGUCCCGGGGCCUUGUAUGUGAAAGGUUCAGACGACGGGCAUCUUCGGAGCUGAGCCGAUUCAGGUAAAGAGGAGGAGACGGUCUGCUCACGCCAGGCGCCGGAAGUGCUGCGUCGGAGACGCCGAGAACCACUUCUUUUACUUGCGGGUGGGAAUCCGCCGUCUGAGCCACCCUCCCGUGUCGAGCGGAACGAAGCCAGGACUUCCUUGUCACACUAUGUGUACACUAAGGCUACGUGUGCACGGUGUUUGCUGGUGACACAGACAAAGGGCUUCUGAACCCGGGAACGAGGAGGUUCAGGUGGGCGGUGGAGUGAAGGGGGAAAAGAAAAGGGAGGGAGGGGGAGCAAGGCCGGGAGGACCGUGUCCAUCCGUGGUGAGCCGAAGGCUUGGGCCUCGUCUUCUGGCGGUGCGAUCCCCAGACGCCUCCCGGAUCGGCAGGUGCUGGGGGAUGGGUACGGGCUGCCUUCUCAGAGUAUUUAAAUAUUCACAUCAUGCACAACUGUGGCAGGUUCAUACACCGCAACAUAAUGGAAAAGACUUUCUACACUGAAUCAGGAGUAGGGUCCAAAGCAGAGCUGGAAAAUAAAUAUCUUGCAUAUAUCUCAAACUCUAUUCUUCAAACAAAACCUUACACCUCAUCAAAGAAGUCAGAGAAGGCCGGAGGGAAGUCCGAGGCCUUCCUCUACAACUGUCUCAUCUCUGAGGCUGA
Molecule: long non-coding RNA, 1101 nt
Filed under: Sarcophilus harrisii (Tasmanian devil)
Lineage: Eukaryota; Metazoa; Chordata; Mammalia; Dasyuromorphia; Dasyuridae
Description: lncRNA (ENSSHAG00000021952.1)
Source: RNAcentral